This 75-nucleotide transfer RNA is filed under the name Nanoarchaeales archaeon. RNAcentral's name for it is "tRNA-Pro". It matches the Rfam family "tRNA". Rfam says of the family: Transfer RNA (tRNA) molecules are approximately 80 nucleotides in length. Their secondary structure includes four short double-helical elements and three loops (D, anti-codon, and T loops). The record is from RNAcentral. Lineage: Archaea; Nanobdellati; Nanobdellota; Candidatus Nanoarchaeia; Nanoarchaeales.
GUGGCUUUGGUGUAGCUUGGCCUAUCAUCGGGCGUUUGGGACGCCUGGACCCAGGUUCAAAUCCUGGAAGCCACG